This is a long non-coding RNA of Pantherophis guttatus, 282 nucleotides long. RefSeq lists it as uncharacterized. Lineage: Eukaryota; Metazoa; Chordata; Lepidosauria; Squamata; Colubridae. The record is from RefSeq and is a predicted model, not a curated record.
CAAUCUGAGCACCUACUAGGCAGAAACAAAGAUUUUAGCUAUAUCUGCCCCUGCUCUUUGUCUGCUUAUUCACUUUAUCUUCAUUAAGAUUCUUUAGGUCUAUUGAAAAUGGUGAAGGAUAUAGACCAGACUGUUUCCUUCAGCAAAAGGAAUACCAUCUGGAAUUUUUCCCAAGGAGAAUCAUGCUGAUCUCCUCAGCUGAAGACUAUUCCAAAGAGAACAAGAAUUAAGAAAAACAAUCUCUACCAUACUAGAGAUUCCCUGGAGGGGAAGAACAUGUCU